Long non-coding RNA from Mus musculus (house mouse), 384 nucleotides. RefSeq annotates it as predicted gene, 40374. The transcript has 3 exons. NCBI's taxonomy places the organism in Eukaryota, Metazoa, Chordata, Mammalia, Rodentia, Muridae. The record is from RefSeq and is a predicted model, not a curated record.
UAUCACUCCAGGGUCCCCUCCAGGGUCCCCUAGUGCUUAUCUGUAAGCACAAGGACUCCACGUCUCUAACAAGGGAAGGCUCUCACGAAGUUAACUGUUUCAGUUAGACUGAUUGGCCACCAGACCCAUAGGAAACACCUGCCUCUGCCUCCCACCAUGCCGAAAUUGCAAGUAUGUGCUACCCCACCUUGCACUUAUUCUGGGCCUGAACUCAGUCUUUAUGUUUUCACGAGUGAAAGAACAGAAUGAAGACCUUUCCUAGUCACCGAGUAACAUCUCAUCCAGAUUAAUUAGGAAAUAAGACUGAAUUCCCCUAAAAGUGAGUCAUGAAAGUAUCCAGACCGGAGACCUAAAUUGCUCCACAUCCUGAGGAACUGUGUGUUG